RNAcentral lists this ribosomal RNA (159 nucleotides) under Hymenoscyphus microcaudatus. RNAcentral's name for it is "5.8S ribosomal RNA". It matches the Rfam family "5.8S ribosomal RNA". From Rfam's summary of the family: 5.8S ribosomal RNA (5.8S rRNA) is a component of the large subunit of the eukaryotic ribosome. It is transcribed by RNA polymerase I as part of the 45S precursor that also contains 18S and 28S rRNA. Functionally, it is thought that 5.8S rRNA may be involved in ribosome translocation. The record is from RNAcentral. Lineage: Eukaryota; Fungi; Ascomycota; Leotiomycetes; Helotiales; Helotiaceae.
AAAACUUUCAACAACGGAUCUCUUGGUUCUGGCAUCGAUGAAGAACGCAGCGAAAUGCGAUAAGUAAUGUGAAUUGCAGAAUUCAGUGAAUCAUCGAAUCUUUGAACGCACAUUGCGCCCCUUGGUAUUCCGAGGGGCAUGCCUGUUCGAGCGUUAUAU